AGCGAACGUUAGCGGCGGGCCUAACACAUGCAAGUCGAACGCGAAAGGUCUUCGGACUGAGUAGAGUGGCGCACGGGUGAGUAUCACGUAGGUAAUCUACCCUUUGGCGGGGGAUAACGUUCCGAAAGGAGCGCUAAUACCGCAUAAGACCACGGAGUCUCCGGACGCUGUGGGAAAAGGUGGCCUCUUCUUGAAAGCUACCACCGAAGGAUGAGCCUGCGUCCCAUCAGCUAGUUGGUAAGGUAAUGGCUUACCAAGGCGAAGACGGGUAGCUGGUUUGAGAGAAUGAUCAGCCACACUGGCACUGGAACACGGGCCAGACUCCUACGGGAGGCAGCAGUGAGGAAUAUUGGGCAAUGGGCGAAAGCCUGACCCAGCCACGCCGCGUGAGUGAUGAAGGCCCUCGGGUCGUAAAGCUCUGUGGAGAGGGACGAAAACCCUGGUUUCAAAUAGGCUCCAGGCUUGACGGUACCUCUUUAGCAAGCACCGGCUAACUCUGUGCCAGCA
RNAcentral lists this ribosomal RNA (507 nucleotides) under uncultured bacterium. RNAcentral's name for it is "bacterial SSU rRNA". It matches the Rfam family "Bacterial small subunit ribosomal RNA", at positions 29 to 513 of the family's 1533-position model. The record is from RNAcentral.